CCUACGGGUGGCAGCAGUGGGGAAUAUUGCGCGAUGGGCGAAAGCCUGACGCAGCGACGCCGCGUGAGGGAUGAAGGUCUUCGGAUCGUAAACCUCUGUCAGCAGGGAAGAACGGUCACUGUGCUAAUCAGCAGUGAAUUGACGGUAACUGCAAAGGAAGCACCGGCUAACUCCGUGCCAGCAGCCGCGGUAAUACGGAGGGUGCGAGCGUUAAUCGGAAUUACUGGGCGUGAAGCGCUCGUAGGCGGUAUGUCAAGUCACGGGUGAAAUGCCCGGGCUCAACGUGGGAACUGCCGUGGAAACUGGCAAACUUGAGUGUGUGAGAGGAUAGUGGAAUUCAAGGUGUAGGAGUGAAAUCCGUAGAUAUCUGGAGGAACAUCAGUGGCGAAGGCGACUAUCUGGCACAUAACUGACGCUGAGGAGCGAAAGCGUGGGUAGCAAACAGGAUUAGAUACCCCAGUAGUC
RNAcentral lists this ribosomal RNA (465 nucleotides) under uncultured bacterium. RNAcentral describes it as "partial 16S ribosomal RNA". It matches the Rfam family "Bacterial small subunit ribosomal RNA", at positions 338 to 795 of the family's 1533-position model. The record is from RNAcentral.